Molecule: long non-coding RNA, 1082 nt
Filed under: Homo sapiens (human)
Lineage: Eukaryota; Metazoa; Chordata; Mammalia; Primates; Hominidae
Description: long intergenic non-protein coding RNA 1333
Source: RNAcentral
AAAGAGGCAGAGUGAGUUCAGCCUAUCAUUUGAGAUCCGAGUAUGAUUGGGGAAAUAUCCUGAAAUAGUCUAUGAUUUGAAGAAAUGGAUAGAUGGCUAGAAUAACAUGCUAGAUGGUAGUCAAGUUACUAACUGCAGAAUUGAUUUGAUAAAAUUCUCAUCGUGUCUCCUGACUUAGGAGAAAUAUUGGGUCUGAUGAAUGGGUAAAAUUCCCAGGUGAAAAGAAUUUGGUCUGUAAGAUUUGGCAGCACCCUGAGGUUUGCCAUAUCUGAUGGCCUGGCUUUAGUGGCAGCACCUAGUGAAGGCCCAGGUGUCCUUCUGACAACCUUUACCACCUACCGUUUUGUCCUUACUUAUGUUGAAUCACUACACACAGGCUGUUGAAUUCAGCUGUCUGUGGAGAAAUUAUACCAACCACAUGGUUAGACAGAAGGAAUACAAUAUAUUGCUUAAUUUGUAUCUGAAAGCUAAGCAACAUGGAAAAAAAUCAAGCAUGCUCAGUCACUUCCAUGAGGACAAACGAAGACACUUCAAGGAAUAUCCAGCACAAUAAGCAUUGAAGAAACAAAUGGCAACGCAAGCUUAAAGAAUUCCAAGCCAUUAUGAACUGACUCUUCAAAUAAGUGCUUAUUUUCACAUAACCAGGGAGUUUCUGGAUUAACUUCCAUAUAAGACAUAUUUAUUAAAAGAUUUGCACCCCUAUUGCUGGCACUGGGUGGACCUCCCCAAACGCUCUGCCCUUGGUGCUCUUCUGCCGGUUAUUCUCGUCCAUGACCCCAGAGCCAGGGAGAAUCUCACCAGUGCAGCCCAGGGCACUUCUGAUAACAUCUGAGCAGAGUGAAGGAGAAGAAACGCACGAGGCAGGCAUCUCAUUUAUGGAAGUGCUCCUCUGGGUCAAGCCCUCUGCCAAUAAUUUUCAUGCAUAAUGGCCCUUUCAUUCUCCCCAAAAAUUCUUCAAGGGAGGGUGAUAAUCCCAGGAUAUGGAAACAAGGAAAAGCAGACUACAAGAAGUUAAGUGACCUCCCCAAUGACCCGCUGCUCAUAAAUGGUAGUAUCAGAAUUAAAACCCAGAUGAGGCUGCC